AUUGAACGCUGGCGGCAUGCCUUACACAUGCAAGUCGAGCGGCAGCGCGGGGGCAACCCUGGCGGCGAGCGGCGCACGGGUGAGUAAUACAUCGGAACGUGUCCUUUCGUGGGGAUAACCAGUCGAAAGAUUGGCUAAUACCGCAUGAGAUCUCACGAUGAAAGCGGGGGACCCGAGGGUAACUUCGGGCCUCGCGCGAUUGGAGCGGCCGAUGUCGGAUUAGCUAGUUGGCGGGGUAAAAGCCCACCAAGGCGACGAUCCGUAGCUGGUUUGAGAGAACGACCAGCCACACUGGGACUGAGACACGGCCCAGACUCCUACGGGAGGCAGCAGUGGGGAAUUUUGGACAAUGGGGGCAACCCUGAUCCAGCCAUGCCGCGUGAGGGAAGAAGGCCU
This 396-nucleotide ribosomal RNA is filed under the name uncultured bacterium. Its description in RNAcentral is "bacterial SSU rRNA". It matches the Rfam family "Bacterial small subunit ribosomal RNA", at positions 29 to 417 of the family's 1533-position model. The record is from RNAcentral.